RNAcentral lists this ribosomal RNA (253 nucleotides) under uncultured bacterium. Its description in RNAcentral is "partial 16S ribosomal RNA". It matches the Rfam family "Bacterial small subunit ribosomal RNA", at positions 524 to 776 of the family's 1533-position model. The record is from RNAcentral.
UACGUAGGGGGCUAGCGUUGUCCGGAAUCAUUGGGCGUAAAGAGCGCGUAGGCGGCCAGAUAAGUCCGGUGUGAAAGUCAAAGGCUCAACCUUUGAACGCCGAUGGAUACUGCCGGGCUAGAGUCCGGAAGAGGCGAGUGGAAUUCCUGGUGUAGCGGUGGAAUGCGCAGAUAUCAGAAGGAACACCAAUAGCGAAGGCAGCUCGCUGGGACGGUACUGACGCUGAGGCGCGAAAGCGUGGGGAGCGAACAGG